AAUCCUAUUUUGGCAGACCAAUGCAAAAGACUUAGAAUCUUUAUAUAACCUU
Molecule: transfer RNA, 52 nt
Filed under: Dysdera fuscipes
Lineage: Eukaryota; Metazoa; Arthropoda; Arachnida; Araneae; Dysderidae
Description: tRNA-Leu
Source: RNAcentral